GGGGCUGUGGCUCAUAGGUAGAGUACUCGCCUACCAUGUGAGAGGCACUGGGUUUGAGUCCCAGCACCA
This 69-nucleotide transfer RNA is filed under the name Ictidomys tridecemlineatus (thirteen-lined ground squirrel). Its description in RNAcentral is "Spermophilus tridecemlineatus (thirteen-lined ground squirrel) tRNA". It matches the Rfam family "tRNA". Rfam says of the family: Transfer RNA (tRNA) molecules are approximately 80 nucleotides in length. Their secondary structure includes four short double-helical elements and three loops (D, anti-codon, and T loops). Further hydrogen bonds mediate the characteristic L-shaped molecular structure. tRNAs have two regions of fundamental functional importance: the anti-codon, which is responsible for specific mRNA codon recognition, and the 3' end, to which the tRNAs corresponding amino acid is attached (by aminoacyl-tRNA synthetases). tRNAs cope with the degeneracy of the genetic code in two manners: having more than one tRNA (with a specific anti-codon) for a particular amino acid; and 'wobble' base-pairing, i.e. permitting non-standard base-pairing at the 3rd anti-codon position. The record is from Rfam by way of RNAcentral. Lineage: Eukaryota; Metazoa; Chordata; Mammalia; Rodentia; Sciuridae.